RNAcentral lists this ribosomal RNA (98 nucleotides) under Phrynosoma coronatum. RNAcentral's name for it is "partial small subunit ribosomal RNA". The record is from RNAcentral. Lineage: Eukaryota; Metazoa; Chordata; Lepidosauria; Squamata; Phrynosomatidae.
AAACCUCACCAUUCAUUGCCAAAGACAGCCUAUAUACCGCCGUCACCAACUUACCCCAUGAGGGUUAAACAGUAAGUACAACAGUUAUUUAACUAAAA